AGCUGCAUCGCAGGGUAGCUAUGUUUGGAAGAGAUAAGCACUGAAAGCAUCUAAGUACGAAGCUCGUCUCAAGAUGAGAUCUCCCUUAAGGGUCGUUGAAGACUACGACGUUGAUAGGCUGCAGGUGUAAAGACGGUACCGUCAAAGCUGAGCAGUACUAAUUACCCGUGAGCUUUCUGAGU
RNAcentral lists this ribosomal RNA (182 nucleotides) under Bacteroidales bacterium. RNAcentral's name for it is "partial 23S ribosomal RNA". It matches the Rfam family "Bacterial large subunit ribosomal RNA", at positions 2731 to 2925 of the family's 2925-position model. Lineage: Bacteria; Pseudomonadati; Bacteroidota; Bacteroidia; Bacteroidales. The record is from RNAcentral.